AGUGAACGCUGGCGGUAGGCCUAACACAUGCAAGUCGAACGGCAGCACAGUAAGAGCUUGCUCUUACGGGUGGCGAGUGGCAGACGGGUGAGGAAUACAUCGGAAUCUACUUUUUCGUGGGGGAUAACGUAGGGAAACUUACGCUAAUACCGCAUACGACCUACGGGUGAAAGCAGGGGAUCUUCGGACCUUGCGCGAUUGAAUGAGCCGAUGUCGGAUUAGCUAGUUGGCGGGGUAAAGGCCCACCAAGGCUACGAUCCGUAGCUGGUCUGAGAGGAUGAUCAGCCACACUGGAACUGAGACACGGUCCAGACUCCUACGGGAGGCAGCAGUGGGGAAUAUUGGACAAUGGGCGCAAGCCUGAUCCAGCCAUACCGCGUGGGUGAAGAAGGCCUUCGGGUUGUAAAGCCCUUUUGUUGGGAAAGAAAAGCAGCAGGUUAAUACCCCGCUGUUCUGACGGUACCCAAAGAAUAAGCACCGGCUAACUUCGUG
RNAcentral lists this ribosomal RNA (492 nucleotides) under uncultured bacterium. RNAcentral describes it as "partial 16S ribosomal RNA". It matches the Rfam family "Bacterial small subunit ribosomal RNA", at positions 29 to 507 of the family's 1533-position model. The record is from RNAcentral.